GUACGGGAGGCAGCAGCGAAGAAUCUUCCGCAAUGGGGGAAACCCUGACGGAGCGACGCCGCGUGGGCGAUGAAGGUCGUAAGAUUGUAAAGCCCUUUUGUCGGUGAAGAAUAAUGGGGGGAGUGGAACGCCCCUCAGAUGACGUUAGCCGAUGAAUAAGCCCCGGCUAAUUACGUGCCAGCAGCCGCGGUAAUACGUAUGGGGCAAGCGUUGUUCGGAGUUAUUGGGCGUAAAGGGCGUGUAGGCGGUUCAUUAAGUCUGGUGUGAAAUCGCAGGGCCUAACCUUGCGUGUGCGCUGGAAACUAGUGGACUUGAGUUCCUGAGGGGAAGCUGGAAUUCCAGGUGUAGGGGUGAAAUCUGUAGAUAUCUGGAAGAACACCGGUGGCGAAGGCGAGCUUCUAUCAGAGGACUGACGCUGAGGCGCGAAAGCGUGGGGAGCAAACAGGAUUAGAUACCCUGGUAGC
Molecule: ribosomal RNA, 464 nt
Filed under: uncultured bacterium
Lineage: Bacteria
Description: bacterial SSU rRNA
Rfam family: Bacterial small subunit ribosomal RNA
Source: RNAcentral